Long non-coding RNA from Actinia tenebrosa (Australian red waratah sea anemone), 382 nucleotides. NCBI's taxonomy places the organism in Eukaryota, Metazoa, Cnidaria, Anthozoa, Actiniaria, Actiniidae. The record is from RefSeq and is a predicted model, not a curated record.
AUCAAAAUUUGAGAGAAUUCGCCAGCCCAGGUCAUCGCUCAAAAAUGGUGUCAUAUUAAGUUUGCAGAUCUCCGACCGACAAGGUCCGACAACGCUAUCUGUUAUUUCUGAGUUUCAUGACGAGAUUUGCGUGACACUCAAGGCAAAACGUUCUAUCUAGCUGGUAUGCACCAAAUACAGUGGUACCUCUAUCAAGAAGUGGACAUUCUUGCGACUUGUUAGGUGUCCGCCAUGUUCGGUUUUACAGUAAAUACGCGGGUUGGGGAAAAAUCGUAGUUAAUACCAGCUUAAUAAGGGGUCUACUUAACAGAGGUACAUUUUCAUAAUACUAAAACAGUUUCCUUACCGCUUGAAGAAAAUAUACUAAGCUGCACAAGGAUGA